Molecule: ribosomal RNA, 1348 nt
Filed under: uncultured bacterium
Lineage: Bacteria
Description: bacterial SSU rRNA
Rfam family: Bacterial small subunit ribosomal RNA
Source: RNAcentral
AGAUUGAACGCUGGCGGCAGGCUUAACACAUGCAAGUCGAGCGGUAACAGGGGUAGCUUGCUACCCGCUGACGAGCGGCGGACGGGUGAGUAAUGCAUAGGAAACUGCCCAGUAGUGGGGGAUAGCCCGGGGAAACCCGGAUUAAUACCGCGUACGCCCUUCGGGGGAAAGCAGGGGAUCUUCGGACCUUGCGCUAUUGGAUGUGCCUAUGUCGGAUUAGCUAGUUGGUGGGGUAAAGGCUUACCAAGGCGACGAUCCGUAGCUGGUCUGAGAGGAUGAUCAGCCACAUCGGGACUGAGACACGGCCCGAACUCCUACGGGAGGCAGCAGUGGGGAAUAUUGGACAAUGGGGGCAACCCUGAUCCAGCCAUGCCGCGUGUGUGAAGAAGGCUUUCGGGUUGUAAAGCACUUUCAGUGAGGAGGAAAACUCUGCGACUAAUACUCGUAGGGCUUGACGUUACUCACAGAAGAAGCACCGGCUAACUCCGUGCCAGCAGCCGCGGUAAUACGGAGGGUGCAAGCGUUAAUCGGAAUUACUGGGCGUAAAGCGCGCGUAGGUGGUUUGAUAAGCGAGAUGUGAAAGCCCCGGGCUUAACCUGGGAACGGCAUUUCGAACUGUCAGGCUAGAGUAUGGUAGAGGGUAGUGGAAUUUCCUGUGUAGCGGUGAAAUGCGUAGAUAUAGGAAGGAACACCAGUGGCGAAGGCGGCUACCUGGACCAAUACUGACACUGAGGUGCGAAAGCGUGGGGAGCAAACAGGAUUAGAUACCCUGGUAGUCCACGCCGUAAACGAUGUCUACUAGCCGUUGGGACUCUUGAAGUCUUAGUGGCGCAGCUAACGCACUAAGUAGACCGCCUGGGGAGUACGGCCGCAAGGUUAAAACUCAAAUGAAUUGACGGGGGCCCGCACAAGCGGUGGAGCAUGUGGUUUAAUUCGACGCAACGCGAAGAACCUUACCUGGCCUUGACAUGCAGAGAACUUUCCAGAGAUGGAUUGGUGCCUUCGGGAACUCUGACACAGGUGCUGCAUGGCCGUCGUCAGCUCGUGUCGUGAGAUGUUGGGUUAAGUCCCGUAACGAGCGCAACCCCUAUCCCUAGUUGCUAGCAGUUCGGCUGAGAACUCUAGGGAGACUGCCGGUGACAAACCGGAGGAAGGUGGGGAUGACGUCAGGUCAUCAUGGCCCUUACGGCCAUGGCUACACACGUGCUACAAUGGUGCGCACAGAGGGCUGCAAACCCGCGAGGGGGAGCCAAUCUCACAAAACGCAUCGUAGUCCGGAUCGCAGUCUGCAACUCGACUGCGUGAAGUCGGAAUCGCUAGUAAUCGUGAAUCAGAAUGUCACGGUGAA